Molecule: long non-coding RNA, 312 nt
Filed under: Nicotiana benthamiana
Lineage: Eukaryota; Viridiplantae; Streptophyta; Magnoliopsida; Solanales; Solanaceae
Description: long non-coding RNA (NBEN_LNC013472)
Source: RNAcentral
GAGAUUGACGAAGCAAUGGAAUUUAAUGAUUCGACUGGACUCGCCAUUUUGGAGCUGAGGCUGAUUUCAGAUUGAAUCGUACGUGACGCUGUAGUCUCUCGCUCCGGCGAUCCCCGAUAACGGCGGAGUUGGACGCAGUGGCGAGCUCAAUAUGACGGAAAAUAGAGAGAGCAACUAUUAACGAUGAAAUUUUCGGAAUAAUGUAGUCUCUCGCUCCGGCGAUCCCCGAGAACGGCGGAGUUGGAGGUAGUGGCGAGCUCAAUAUGACGGAAAAUAGAGAGAGAAACCGUUAACGAUGAAACUUUUGGAAUA